AGCGCAGGCGGGAAGACAAGUUGGAAGUGAAAUCUAUGGGCUCAACCCAUAAACUGCUUUCAAAACUGUUUUUCUUGAGUAGUGCAGAGGUAGGCGGAAUUCCCGGUGUAGCGGUGGAAUGCGUAGAUAUCGGGAGGAACACCAGUGGCGAAGGCGGCCUACUGGGCACCAACUGACGCUGAGGCUCGAAAGUGUGGGGAGCAAACA
This 207-nucleotide ribosomal RNA is filed under the name uncultured bacterium. RNAcentral describes it as "partial 16S ribosomal RNA". It matches the Rfam family "Bacterial small subunit ribosomal RNA", at positions 568 to 774 of the family's 1533-position model. The record is from RNAcentral.